Molecule: long non-coding RNA, 477 nt
Filed under: Brachypodium distachyon (stiff brome)
Lineage: Eukaryota; Viridiplantae; Streptophyta; Magnoliopsida; Poales; Poaceae
Description: long non-coding RNA (BDIS_LNC003827)
Source: RNAcentral
UCAUGUGGCCAUGGCUGCAUAAAACCAUGGCUGCAUAACUGCACACUAUGCUGAAGCCUACGUUUUUUCCUUUUUUUUUCCUCAAACCCGCACCUAGGUUUGUGUCAUUUUUAUCAGAAGAAGCGCCGAGACGGCAACAAAGUCCAAGGGCCGAACAAAACCAAAAAAAAGGAGCUAAACAAACUGUACACAAACAAACAACCGGAAGAAGCGCCGAGACGGCAACAAAGUCCAAGGGCUGAACAAAACAAAAAAAAGAGCUAAACAAACUGUACACAAACAAACAACCGGAAUCAGCCUUAAAGCUUAACUCAAUUCAAACUUAAUUAUUGUUUUUUUUCUCAUGAAUGAUAGCAGUACUUCACACAAUUUGAUGCUAAUUUGAAUCUCAGGGUUACUAAUUCUAUGACAUGUGGAUUGUGUUCUAAAGGUUCUGGUUGGUUUACCUUAAGGCAUGAGUAGUAAUUUUGUUUGAAU